This 508-nucleotide ribosomal RNA is filed under the name uncultured bacterium. RNAcentral describes it as "partial 16S ribosomal RNA". It matches the Rfam family "Bacterial small subunit ribosomal RNA", at positions 29 to 523 of the family's 1533-position model. The record is from RNAcentral.
AUUGAACGCUGGCGGCAGGCCUAACACAUGCAAGUCGAGCGGCAGCGGGAAAGUAGCUUGCUACUUUUGCCGGCGAGCGGCGGACGGGUGAGUAAUGCCUGGGGAUCUGCCCAGUCGAGGGGGAUAACAGUUGGAAACGACUGCCAAUACCGCAUACGCCCUACGGGGGAAAGGAGGGGACCUUCGGGCCUUUCGCGAUUGGAUGAACCCAGGUGGGAUUAGCUAGUUGGUGGGGUAAUGGCUCACCAAGGCGACGAUCCCUAGCUGGUCUGAGAGGAUGAUCAGCCACACUGGAACUGAGACACGGUCCAGACUCCUACGGGAGGCAGCAGUGGGGAAUAUUGCACAAUGGGGGAAACCCUGAUGCAGCCAUGCCGCGUGUGUGAAGAAGGCCUUCGGGUUGUAAAGCACUUUCAGCGAGGAGGAAAGGUUGUUGGCUAAUACCCAGCAACUGUGACGUUACUCGCAGAAGAAGCACCGGCUAACUCCGUGCCAGCCGCCGCGGUAA